This 107-nucleotide small RNA is filed under the name Marmota monax (woodchuck). Lineage: Eukaryota; Metazoa; Chordata; Mammalia; Rodentia; Sciuridae. The record is from RNAcentral.
GCUUGGCACAUUGGCACAUGCCUGUAAUCCCAGCUGCUUGGGAGGCUGAAACAGGAGGCUUCCAAGUUCAAAGCCAGCCUCAGCAAUUUAGCAAGACCCUGUCUCAA